GAUGAACGCUAGCGAUAGGCUUAACACAUGCAAGUCGAGGGGCAGCAUGGUCUUAGCUUGCUAAGACUGAUGGCGACCGGCGCACGGGUGCGUAACGCGUAUGCAACUUGCCUCACAGAGGGGGAUAACCCGUCGAAAGACGGACUAAUACCGCGUACACUUGGGAUAGGGCAUCCUGACCCAAGGAAAUGAAAUUCGCUGUGAGAUAGGCAUGCGUCCCAUUAGCUAGUUGGUGAGGUAACGGCUCACCAAGGCGACGGUGGGUAGGGGAACUGGGAGAGUGAGCCCCCGCACGGGUACUGAGACACGGACCAGACUCCUACGGGCGGAAGCAGUGAGGAAUAUUGGUCGAUGGGCGAGAGCCUGAACCAGCCAAGUCGCGUGAAGGAUGACUGGCUUAUGGAUUGUAAACUUCUGUUAUACGGGAAUAACAAGAGCCACGUGUGGCUCCCUGCAUGUACCGGAUGAAUAAGCAUCGGCUAACUACGUG
RNAcentral lists this ribosomal RNA (490 nucleotides) under uncultured bacterium. RNAcentral describes it as "partial 16S ribosomal RNA". It matches the Rfam family "Bacterial small subunit ribosomal RNA", at positions 28 to 507 of the family's 1533-position model. The record is from RNAcentral.